RNAcentral lists this ribosomal RNA (484 nucleotides) under uncultured bacterium. Its description in RNAcentral is "bacterial SSU rRNA". It matches the Rfam family "Bacterial small subunit ribosomal RNA", at positions 30 to 507 of the family's 1533-position model. The record is from RNAcentral.
AUUGAACGCUGGCGGCAUGCCUUACACAUGCAAGUCGAACGGCAGCACGGGAGCAAUCCUGGUGGCGAGUGGCGAACGGGUGAGUAAUAUAUCGGAACGUGCCCAGUCGUGGGGGAUAACGUAGCGAAAGCUACGCUAAUACCGCAUACGAUCUACGGAUGAAAGCGGGGGAUCGCAAGACCUCGCGCGAUUGGAGCGGCCGAUAUCAGAUUAGCUAGUUGGUGGGGUAAGAGCUCACCAAGGCGACGAUCUGUAGCUGGUCUGAGAGGACGACCAGCCACACUGGAACUGAGACACGGUCCAGACUCCUACGGGAGGCAGCAGUGGGGAAUUUUGGACAAUGGGCGCAAGCCUGAUCCAGCAAUGCCGCGUGCAGGAUGAAGGCCUUCGGGUUGUAAACUGCUUUUGUACGGAACGAAACGGUGAGCUCUAAUAAAGCUUGCUAAUGACGGUACCGUAAGAAUAAGCACCGGCUAACUACGUG